Molecule: regulatory RNA element, 114 nt
Organism: Roseivirga spongicola
Lineage: Bacteria; Pseudomonadati; Bacteroidota; Cytophagia; Cytophagales; Roseivirgaceae
Rfam family: TPP riboswitch aptamer (THI element)
About the family: Vitamin B(1) in its active form thiamin pyrophosphate (TPP) is an essential coenzyme that is synthesised by coupling of pyrimidine and thiazole moieties in bacteria. The previously detected thiamin-regulatory element, thi box was extended, resulting in a new, highly conserved RNA secondary structure, the THI element, which is widely distributed in eubacteria and also occurs in some archaea.
Source: Rfam
GCCACAAUUAAGGGGUGCCCUUUUCCGAAUAAUCGGAAUGAAAUACGGGCUGAGAUUAUACCCAUUGAACCUGAUGCAGGUAAUGCUGUCGCAGGGAUAUGGUGGUCUAACGUU